Molecule: unclassified non-coding RNA, 234 nt
Filed under: plant metagenome
Description: partial contains small subunit ribosomal RNA, internal transcribed spacer 1, and 5.8S ribosomal RNA
Source: RNAcentral
UUUCCGUAGGUGAACCUGCGGAAGGAUCAUUACAGUAGUCGCCCGGGUUGCCGCAAGGCCUCCCGGGUAACCUACCACCCUUUGUUUAUUACACUUUGUUGCUUUGGCAGGCCUGCCCUCGGGCUGCUGGUUCCGGCCGGCGAGCGCUUGCCAGAGGACCUAAACUCUGUUUGUCUAUACUGUCUGAGUACUAUAUAAUAGUUAAAACUUUCAACAACGGAUCUCUUGGUUCUG